RNAcentral lists this ribosomal RNA (372 nucleotides) under uncultured organism. Its description in RNAcentral is "bacterial SSU rRNA". It matches the Rfam family "Bacterial small subunit ribosomal RNA", at positions 526 to 896 of the family's 1533-position model. The record is from RNAcentral.
CAGAGGUCCCAAGCGUUGUUCGGAUUCACUGGGCGUAAAGGGUGCGCAGGUGGGUUUGCAAGUUUGAUGUGAAAGCCCCGGGCUUAACCCGGGAAUGGCAUUGAAUACUGCAGAUCUGGAGGAUUGGAGGGGGGGACUGGAAUUCUUGGUGUAGCAGUGAAAUGCGUAGAUAUCAAGAGGAACACCAGUGGCGAAGGCGAGUCCCUGGACAAUACCUGACACUGAGGCACGAAAGCUAGGGGAGCAAACAGGAUUAGAUACCCUGGUAGUCCUAGCUGUAAACGGUGCGCAUUUGCUGUAAACGGAAUCGACCCCGUUUGUGGCGAAGCUAACGCGAUAAAUGCGCCGCCUGGGAGUACGGUCGCAAGAUUA